AAUGAACGUUGGCGGCGUGGAUUAGGCAUGCAAGUCGAGCGAGAAGAGUUUGGUAGCUUGCUAUUGAACUCGGAAAGCGGCGAAAGGGAGAGUAACGCGUAGUCACGUGCCCCAGGGUUCGGAAUAGCCACGGGAAACUGUGGGUAAUGCCGAAUAACAUCGCCGGAUCAAAGGUGUGAUUCCGCCCUGGGAGCGGACUGCGUCCUACUAGCUAGUUGGCGGGGUAAUGGCCCACCAAGGCAACAAUGGGUAGCGGGUGUGAGAGCAUGACCCGUCUCACUGGGACUGAGACACUGCCCAGACACCUACGGGUGGCUGCAGUCGAGAACCUUCGGCAAUGGGCGAAAGCCUGACCGAGCGACGCCGCGUGCGGGAUGAAGGCCCUCGGGUUGUAAACCGCUGUCGUAGGGGAGGAAGGCUCCAUGAAGAAUGGGGUUUGACCUAUCCUAGGAGGAAGUACGGGCUAAGUUCGUGCCAGCAGCCGCAGUAA
RNAcentral lists this ribosomal RNA (490 nucleotides) under uncultured bacterium. Its description in RNAcentral is "partial 16S ribosomal RNA". It matches the Rfam family "Bacterial small subunit ribosomal RNA", at positions 29 to 523 of the family's 1533-position model. The record is from RNAcentral.